CUCGAAAAGAGUGUAUCAGGGUGUCCGGGUGAAGCACACUGUAAAAGAUCUCCUGGCAGAAAAGAGGUCACGUCAGACAAGCGGCCCGCGCUACACCGGUGUUUCAUCUCCUCCAAAUCCAUUUGUUCAAAUGACUGGUUCUCACAUGCUCCCGAGUUACUACGGCAUGAGAAGACCUUUCAUUUCAGAGACAGAGUUCUGCUCCUCAACAAAAGCAUUUUCUGCGGACGUUUACCCCUCUUCACUUACUGGGAAAUCUCUCUCGUGUGAUAGCGGAUGCGUGACUGGUUAUUCGUCUCUCAUAGAAAGCUACUAUCCUGAGUCUUUUGGAGAUUAUCGCAGCACUUCUUUCUCUAGUGGAGGAAGCACAAUCUUCUCACCCUCUGCAUUGUCCUCUUUGCUGCCUUCUUACUCAAGUGACCCUUCACAUUAC
Non-coding RNA from Danio rerio (zebrafish), 433 nucleotides. Lineage: Eukaryota; Metazoa; Chordata; Actinopteri; Cypriniformes; Danionidae. The record is from RefSeq and is a predicted model, not a curated record.